Molecule: non-coding RNA, 222 nt
Filed under: Fructobacillus sp.
Lineage: Bacteria; Bacillati; Bacillota; Bacilli; Lactobacillales; Lactobacillaceae
Description: T-box sequence
Rfam family: T-box leader
About the family: Uncharged tRNA acts as the effector for transcription antitermination of genes in the T-box leader family. T-boxes are found upstream of many aminoacyl-tRNA synthetase genes and some amino acid biosynthetic genes usually in Gram-positive bacteria.
Source: RNAcentral
AUUAUCACAUUCAUGAGGACGAGUAAUCGGUACCAGUCUGCUAGAGACGUCAUGGUUGGUGAAAGUGACGGGCGAAGCCGGUGAAAACUCCCUCAGUAGUGGCCUUUGAGUAAUGCGUGAAAUGAAGCCCGGUUGUCAGCCGUUAUCUUGGCAAAAGAGUGUUGUCUAGGUCUUUUUACUUAGGCAAAACACGGGUGGUACCACGCAACAAGCGUCCCUAGA